RNAcentral lists this ribosomal RNA (474 nucleotides) under uncultured bacterium. Its description in RNAcentral is "partial 16S ribosomal RNA". It matches the Rfam family "Bacterial small subunit ribosomal RNA", at positions 28 to 523 of the family's 1533-position model. The record is from RNAcentral.
GACGAACGCUGGCGGCGUGCUUAACACAUGCAAGUCGAGCGAUGAAGCACCUUCGGGUGUGAAUUAGCGGCGAACGGGUGAGGAACACGUGAAGAAUCUGCCUUCAACUCUGGGAUAACUCCGGGAAACCGGGGCUAAUACCGGAUAUGAGCCUUGAUCGCAUGAUCGGGGCUGGAAAGUUUUUCGGUUGAAGAUGACUUCGCGGCCUAUCAGCUUGUUGGUGAGGUAAUGGCUCACCAAGGCGACGACGGGUAGCCGGCCUGAGAGGGCGACCGGCCGCACUGGGACUGAGACACGGCCCAGACUCCUACGGGAGGCAGCAGUAGGGAACACUGCACAAUGGGGGAAACCCUGAUGCAGCAAUUCCGCGUGAGUGAUGACGGCCUUCGGGUUGUAAAGCUCUGUCUUCGGGGACGAUAAUGACGGUACCCGAGGAGGAAGCCACGGCUAACUACGUGCCAGCAGCCGCCGUAA